AUUGAACGCUGGCGGCAUGCCUUACACAUGCAAGUCGAACGGCAGCACGGGUGCUUGCCCCUGGUGGCGAGUGGCGAACGGGUGAGUAAUACAUCGGAACAUGUCCUGUAGUGGGGGAUAGCCCGGCGAAAGCCGGAUUAAUACCGCAUACGAUCUACGGAUGAAAGCGGGGGACCUUCGGGCCUCGCGCUAUCGGGUUGGCCGAUGGCUGAUUAGCUAGUUUGUGGGGUAAAGGCCUACCAAGGCGACGAUCAGUAGCUGGUCUGAGAGGACGACCAGCCACACUGGGACUGAGACACGGCCCAGACUCCUACGGGAGGCAGCAGUGGGGAAUUUUGGACAAUGGGCGAAAGCCUGAUCCAGCAAUGCCGCGUGUGUGAAGAAGGCCUUCGGGUUGUAAAGCACUUUUGUCCGGAAAGAAAUCCUUGGCCCUAAUACGGUCGGGGGAUGACGGUACCGGAAGAAUAAGCACCGGCUAACUACGUG
RNAcentral lists this ribosomal RNA (486 nucleotides) under uncultured bacterium. RNAcentral describes it as "partial 16S ribosomal RNA". It matches the Rfam family "Bacterial small subunit ribosomal RNA", at positions 30 to 507 of the family's 1533-position model. The record is from RNAcentral.